RNAcentral lists this ribosomal RNA (429 nucleotides) under bacterium. RNAcentral describes it as "partial 16S ribosomal RNA". It matches the Rfam family "Bacterial small subunit ribosomal RNA", at positions 355 to 776 of the family's 1533-position model. The record is from RNAcentral.
UAGGGAAUCUUCCACAAUGGACGCAAGUCUGAUGGAGCAACGCCGCGUGAGUGAAGAAGGUUUUCGGAUCGUAAAGCUCUGUUGUUGGUGAAGAAGGAUAGAGGUAGUAACUGGCCUUUAUUUGACGGUAAUCAACCAGAAAGUCACGGCUAACUACGUGCCAGCAGCCGCGGUAAUACGUAGGUGGCAAGCGUUGUCCGGAUUUAUUGGGCGUAAAGCGAGCGCAGGCGGAAGAAUAAGUCUGAUGUGAAAGCCCUCGGCUUAACCGAGGAACUGCAUCGGAAACUGUUUUUCUUGAGUGCAGAAGAGGAGAGUGGUAUUCCAUGUGUAGCGGUGGAAUGCGUAGAUAUAUGGAAGAACACCAGUGGCGAAGGCGACUCUCUGGUCUGCAACUGACGCUGAGGCUCGAAAGCAUGGGUAGCGAACAGG